Long non-coding RNA from Chloebia gouldiae (Gouldian finch), 2052 nucleotides. NCBI's taxonomy places the organism in Eukaryota, Metazoa, Chordata, Aves, Passeriformes, Passeridae. The record is from Ensembl.
AUGUGUUGUUCAUGCUUUGACUUACAACGGCGGCAGCUUUUCAGAGAUUCUGCGGAGUGGCUGUGCGAGAUGAGAAGCUCUAAAUGCAGUUGCAGAGCGCUGGUUCAGCGUUGCAGGGCUGAGGCAGCCGCCCGCCCGGCCGGGGCUGUGGGACUUGGCCGCGCUGCGCAGGAAGGAAGGGCGGCUCCGGCGGAGGUUUCCUGCCCUGCCGCGGUGCGAUGCUCGCCGCUGCUCCUGCACUCGGCUGUCCUGCGGGGUCACCAGCGGGAGGGACCCUGCAAGCAGGGAAGAACGGUGGCUGCACCUCAGAAACGUACAAGGAACGAAUACCCUGUCUCGCUGGACUCUCCCAGGUUUCCCUCUCCCCUUGCAGCAUUGCUGUGCCACUGCCUGCCUUUGUAGAGGCCAGGUCUCGCGGGUUCUUUUAAUAUUUACGUGUCUGUUGCGUGUGGCAGAGUGGGACAAAGCACAGAGGCUGGCACAGAAGUACCAGCACAGCAGUGGUGAUGUGGGGAUGUGGCUCUGCCCCGGGCUUAGCUGCUGUGGUGAACCUGGCACCUCCUCUGCCCAAGGGUCACGCAGGUGAGCGCCUCUGCUGCUCUGUGGCCACUCCGGUCCUUCCCACCAAAGCAGAGCCCUGCAGGGGCCCUGGGCUCGGCCACGAGGGCAACGAGCCCCUGUCUGGACAGAUGUUUGCAGGCUGCCCAAGUGCAGGGCUGUCCUGAUGUGCAAACCACCUGCAGAGCUUAGUGGCAAUGGGUUAUUGCUACAGGAGGUAGGAGCUACACCCUGUUAGGACACAGUACCUGUGUACCUCUGUGGCUGCACCGAGUGAGCACUGGGGUUAAGACCAGAACGAUGCCACGGGGUUAAAACGAGAACGGUGGGGCUGCUGGGGUUAAAGGCAGAACGGUGGGGCUGCUGGGGUUAAAACCGGAAUGAUGGGGCUGCUGGGGUUAAAACCAGAACGAUGCCACGGGGUUAAAGGCAGAACGGUGGGGCUGCUGGGGUUAAAGGCAGAACGAUGCCACGGGAGCGGUGAGAGCUCGUUCCGGUGCAGCUGCACGGGAGGCUCCGGCAGAGCAGCUGAACCAGGAGCGGCGUGCCCCGGCAGUCAGUCGGCGUCUGUGACUGACACCUCUGCGAUGAACGAUUGUCAUCUGGCGUGAACGCUCCUUGUGCUCAGUCCCCACAUCAAACCACUGAACUCAUGUGAGAAUCACAUGCCAGAGCACGUCACCCGUGUGGCCUUUCCAGCUGCCCCUGGCUCGUCUGGACACGCAGCUGCCCCCGCCGCCGAGGCCCCGCACCCGGCUCCUCCUCACCGCCCCGGAGCGCUGCCCGCAGCCCUCGGAGCGCAUCUUCUCAGCUCAGCGGGGCUGAAAUGGAAAAGAGCCGCCAGCAGGGCAGUUCCGCACGGGAGCAGAUGAAACCUGACAGCCGGGCCGGGGCGGGGAGCUGCUGGGUGGGAGUGACGGGGAGAGGUGCGAUGGCCAGGAAUUCUCACCCCGUGAGCCCAGCAGGAGCUUUGUGACUCAAAGGAAAUGCUGUAGCGGGAAUCAAAAAAGGAGAGCAGCGAGACAGAUCAACUUCCCAUUCACCAUUGUUGUCCUCCCGGUGCAAAUGGCCCCUUUGGCUGCUCUGAGGAGACUGGCAGGGACUGGGGUUAGGCCACCUGGAAACAGGUGAGUCUUGAGGGUUUGGGGCAUCUUGUCUGGCAAUCUUUCUCUGCCAGCCUUCAGAUGGGCUGUCCCUGCACUUGCCAUGAGCUCGUUACAGUUUCAGUUGAUCAGCAUGGACCUUGAGGCGAAUUUCUGGAUGUUCUUGUGAUAUUUGUGCUCCUGGUCUACUGAUGAUAUGCAAGAAAAUACUCAAUGGUCAGUUUCUAUUUUGCAGCUCUAAAAUCAACACUGCAGGAUUCAACCUCUCCUUGUAUUUUCCUUUAGAUUAUUUUUUUCUUUUCUACUUCUUUUUUUUGUUUGUUUCUUUUUUUUUUUUGUCUACCAUUAGAGAUCUUUUAGUUAAAAUAAAUUAUUAAAAACAUAACUGUCA